Molecule: ribosomal RNA, 434 nt
Filed under: uncultured bacterium
Lineage: Bacteria
Description: partial 16S ribosomal RNA
Rfam family: Bacterial small subunit ribosomal RNA
Source: RNAcentral
AGCGAACGCUGGCGGCAGGCCUAACACAUGCAAGUCGAACGAACCUUUCGGGGUUAGUGGCGGACGGGUGAGUAACACGUGGGAACGUGCCUUUAGGUUCGGAAUAACUCAGGGAAACUUGUGCUAUUCCGGAAUGUGCCCUUAGGGGGAAAGAUUAUUCGCAUUUAGAGCGGCCCGAGUCUGGUUAGCUAGUUGGUUGGGGUAAUGGCGCACCAAGGCGUGAGUCAGUAGCUUGUCUGCGAGGCUGGUCAGCGACCUUGGGGCGGAGACACGGCCCAAACUCCUGCGGGAAGCAGCAGUGGCUAAUCUAGCGCUAUGGGCGGUAGCAAGACGCAGCCAUGCCGCGAGAAUGAUGAAAGCCUUAGGAUAGGAAAAUUCUUUCACCGGUGACGUUAAUGACGUUACCCGGAGAAGAAGCCCCGGCUAACUUCGUG